Molecule: long non-coding RNA, 3519 nt
Organism: Haemorhous mexicanus (house finch)
Lineage: Eukaryota; Metazoa; Chordata; Aves; Passeriformes; Fringillidae
Exons: 5
Source: RefSeq, a predicted model, not a curated record
UACACUGCCUUGGGCUAUGAUCUCAUAAGUUAAGCAGGGUUGGGCCUGUUUGUUUUUGGAUGGGGACUUAGAAGAAGAAGUUGAUUGCUACAGUCAAUUUGACUUGGUAAUUCAGAAGGUGGUGCUCUUCCCCCUAGGUAGCUCAGGCUGACAUGCCAGAAUGAUUAGGCUCACCACAACUCCUAACCUUUUGGAAAAAAUGUAAACCCAAUAUCCUCACCUUUCCAGAAUGAACAUCACGGGACUCCUGCCCUAACCCCAAAGUCCCAACCAAAUUCCAUCUCAAAGGAACCACACCCUGCAGAUGGAGAUCCACCCAUGCCCUUCCAGGAGGAUGCAGUAAACUUUGCUUUCCCUGCUGGGUUGCAUGAUACCUCCAGCUGAACUGCUGCAGAGCUCGGGAGAGAUGGCAGCAGUACUUCUGGGGCAGGCAGCAAUUGCCCUCUCAAUAAACCUAUGCAAGUGUCCUCACUGUAAAGGCACUGUUUAAAUUGAAGUGUUUUCCCGCCAGUAGGGAUUUGGGCAGAUACCUGUUGAUACUUGGUGAUACCUGAGCAAUGGCCUCCUUGUGCUGAAUGUAGCAGCUGGUGCCUCUGUUUUGCCUUUGUCUCUUCCCACUGCAGCACAGUGCCAGGCUCUCACAGCACAGGCACACUCUGCUGCCCACUGCCCUCUCAGAGGGACAAAAAAGAACUUAGCUGUUUUGCACACCUCUUAAUAUUCCAGUGUGGCUAAAUUCUAAAGUGAGGUAAGUUAUUUAGCACCAUGUAGGUGUAAAGUGCUGCAAUUUUCUGUUCUGAGUGGGUGGUAAGGUAGGGGUGCAGCAGGAAAAGCAGAGAAGAGGAUGGCAUUAGAUAACAUGCUCUGUGUGCCGAGGGCUGCUGGGAAGGGAGCUCUGGUUGCUUUGGCCAUGUCUAAAGGCAGAUUUGCUCAGUAUUUGUUUGUUUUCUAAGCUGUGAAUGUGCUUGUGUGCAUUCUUCUCUUUUGGUUUAGCUUAAACCUUUCCUAAUCCUGUUAGCAGAGAUAAGUCUCCCUGAACCACAAGUAAGUGUCUGCACGGGAGUUUGCACGAGCUGAAUUAAUUCUGCAUGAAAUCAUGCAGGGGUGCCCUUGUGUGGGUAAACACAACCUCAUGUUCCUUCCAGCAUCCUUGGCUUUCCCUGCCGUGCUUUCCCUGCCUGCUCUCCCCUCUUGGCAGGGGAGGUCACAUUGAAGCAUUUCAUGCUCAAUUUCCACAGGAAAAUAAGCAAAUCCCCUUUCACCACCAGGAAAAGGGCAGAGUGAACCCAAACUAGGCUCUCUGUGUAAGGUCUGUCAAGAAAAGACUCUCUAGAGGGCUGUGUGCCAGCAGGACCAUGUCCCUGACCUAGUGACAUGCAGAAGGAGGGGUGCUCCCAGUAUUAGCCCCACUGCUCUGUCCUGGCACGGCACAGUGGGAGAGGCAGCUGGGCUUAGCUCAAGAUUUUGCAUAUUCUUUACCAUGCAUGUCCUGUCUUGACAGUAUUUAUGCAAAUUUUAAAAUAGAGGAAAAAGCUGUCACGUAAAACAAAAAAAUUCAUCCAGAGGCCAAAUAUGUAGGUUGGUUGGCUUCUGCGUUUUCUUCAUUUUUUUUUUCCAAUUAAAAAUAAGGUAACCUAUAAAACGACAAUCUAGUUUAAUAUCCUGAUUACAUGUUCCAGAGAGUAGCUGAGUCACACCAUUUGCACUGUGCUUUGUACCCCUGCGGGGGAUGUAAAAGCUCCAUCUUUGGAAUAUUCUGAGGUCCACCCCAGUCAGAUGUGCCAGGUGAGAGUUCCAAGGUGCAGGAUUGUGGGUAGUGAAAGUGAAUUCUCACAGGAUACAGUUGCUGUCAGGACAGGACCCACGGGUCAGUAUUGAGGUAAUUGGUUUAGGUGGUCCUGUCCUUGCAAUCCAUGUCGCCUUUUUGAGUGGAAACACACCUGAAGUCAAAAAAAAUUCCCAAUGCAUUGCCUUGUUCUUAAUUUUGUUUCUGGUUGGUGGAAUGCCAUUGAGUUUCAUUCCCACCUAAUGCUAAGAUCCAUCACCUUUAAUUGUCAUCAAAAAACACUUAUAAGGAGCAACAAAAGGAGCUGCUGGAGGAUGUGUCUUCUUCAGCACUGGAAGAACUGAUGCAUGUUCUCAUGUCAUGGGCAGCCAGUUCUCAUCAGCAUGGACACUUCUUAUACAGAUUCUCGUUUGCUAAGAGCCAGAGUAAAUCAGACUUGCCUCUCAGGAUCUGCAUACCACAACAGUCCAGAGAUCACCAUUGUGGAGACUUCUCUUGAUGAAGACUCAAGGUCACAGUUAAGAUACAGCAGUCCAAUAAUUUAUUGCUGAUCAGCUCAAAGCUCCUGUUAUGAGCCAUAGUGCCAAACCUGACUUUCACAUAACUAAGAGCAUCUUCACCGAGGGUUGCCACUACCCAGCUCAUGUACAAGUGCCUUCAUCUCUGGGGCGUCACUUGUGAGCCUUUUCCACCAUUACAGGAUCAUGGAACACAAGGCUGAAGGUUUUGUGCCUGGAGCUGCACUUCCCACCAUUGCAAGUCCUGCCCAGCUUGCAUAGAACAGCUUCAGAAAUGGCCAAGGCUGCAAGGUGUUCACACACUGUGGUGACCAGCUGGACAGGAUUGAAAAGGACAGUGACAAGUUAUGCAAGAUCAGAACAGAGAUCCCACAAGGGCUCCUUAAUGCUGCUUGGAGGCUGAUCCCUGCCCUCAUCCCUCCUUUCCAGAGCCACAGGCAGUGGGCAGUGCUGGGGGCAACCUACUCUCCCUUCUGGAGCUCCAACUGGAUCACUGGCACCAGGUUUUUAAGGGUGACCAGUGUCCCACCUUGCCUUGGAGGUCAAUGGAAGUUCACUUGUUGACUUCAUGGACAGGAUUUCAACCCGUGUCUGUGAUCAGUGAUGAAAUGAAAUUCACAGCUUGGAAUAAUUUAUCCAGCAUACCCAAUCAAACACAAACAUCCUUUGUGCUUGAAAAUGAAUCAGGGCUGGAGGCAGCUAGCCUGCUGCAGAGGUUUGUGAUAGAUUAAUGAGCUGAGAACAAGCUGCCACCUCCACCCCCAUCAGUGACUUUCCAGUCUGAGGAAAGGGACGCUGAGCUGGAGGUGAAGGAUAUACUCUCGGAUAAGUGUUGCAGUGGGAGGUGAGAAAUAAGAGCUUCAAGUGGAGGAGGAGGGGUGAAAGAAAGACAAGCACUGUCCUCUGUUAAGCAGGGUACAGUUUAGACAGAGCCUGACAGUCUUCUGGCAGGAGGGUCAGGGCAGGAGCAGCCCUGUGCUUGCAGCACCUGUUAUUGAAUGCUACCCGCAGGUACCAGGGCAGCACAGACCGUGAUUCUCUGACUUCUUCCAGUCACGUGGGAAGGUCAGGGACCUGUGAGAAGAAAGGAGAUGAUGACACAGCUGACAAGGUCUGCCCUCAGUGAGAUGCAGUAAUACCAAUGCAGAAGGGAUCAUAUUCCAGAGGCUUCUUGGGCUUAAAGAUGAAAAUAAAGUCUGAAUUUGAGUGUCACAA